RNAcentral lists this unclassified non-coding RNA (437 nucleotides) under Hevea brasiliensis (rubber tree). The record is from RNAcentral. Lineage: Eukaryota; Viridiplantae; Streptophyta; Magnoliopsida; Malpighiales; Euphorbiaceae.
AAAUAAUUUAAAAUUAAAUUUGACAAGUUUUAAUAAGAAAAACACUAAAAUAAUAAAACAACUUUUUCCAAACUAUUUUUUCAAUAGUAUAAAAAUGAUUUUUUUUAAAAAAAUUAAUUUUAGCCCUCUAACUUUAAUGCUAAACAAACACUUAGUUUUCUAGUAAAAAACUAAAAUAAUUAAAUUAACCAAAGUUUUAUGUAUUUAUUUUUUAUGCAAAUAUCAUGUAUAGCAAGAAAAAAUUCUUAAUAAACAAUUGAAUAAAAAAAAAUAUUUUGAUUCAAUUUAAUUCACAAUAGAUUUGAUUUGAUUCAAUUUAAUUCAUCUGUUUAAUAGGAUUGCAUUUUUCACACUUUCUAAUUCACUUUUCAUUUAUUUCUGUUCUCAUUUUUAUUCAUUACAAGAUUAAUUAUCCAUACUCAACUCAACUCAACUCA